Silurus meridionalis is the source of this 1220-nucleotide long non-coding RNA. RefSeq lists it as uncharacterized. The record is from RefSeq and is a predicted model, not a curated record. The transcript has 3 exons. Lineage: Eukaryota; Metazoa; Chordata; Actinopteri; Siluriformes; Siluridae.
AGUUACUGAAAACUGAACAGCAUCCUGUAUCGUGGCUCAAACCACAUCCUUUUACUGGCAUCUGCAUGUAUCAGAAUAAAAGCACUGGUGUUCGUCUACAAAGCUCAAGAAAAGACCAGCACCCUCUUACUCAGAGACCUCAUCACUCCCCACACUGCACCAUGCUGCCUGAGAUCCUCCAGUACUGCCUGACUGGUACCAACUUCUCUCAGCGUAAGAGAUACUUCAAGGCUCUUCUCUGUUCUGGCACCGAGGUGGUGGAAUGAACUUCCCCUAGAUGUCUGAACAGUGGAGUCCCUGACUAUCUUCAAGGAACAGCUUCUGAAGGAAUUACAGUGGAUUUGCAACAGAGCUGGACUGUACUGUGGAAAUGAUUGGACUCCUUUGUUCUUCUCUAUGCUGAAGAAGAUUUCUUAAUAAAACUGCCUGUACGCUCUGUCCUGCUGCAAAAUACAUUUGGAUCCACAGAGUCCUGAGUCGUUCUUACACGUGGAUUUGAAGGAGCCUACAUGCACGGAGGAUCUGUGAUUAGUUCCCCAAGAUGUUUGGAACAGCCUGCUGAGCUCCUUCAAAAACUGUGUGCAACGUACCAAGAAAUAUUAAUGCUGUUUUGCAGGAAUGGGUGGCCACACCAAAUGUUGAUUUGAUUUGGAUUUCUCUUCUGUUUAUUUUCUUUCCAUUUUGUUAAUCAAUCAGAAUAAACUAUUAUCACUUAUUUUUGAAAGUGUUUUUACAUUACAUCAUUUGUUUACAAGCUGCCCUUAUCAUAAGAGACGUACAAAAGUGCUGUGAAGGCAAACAGAUUUGUUUUGUCUGUUCAUUCUUACAGGGGAUUCCCCCGUCUGUCUGGCCACAAAGACACACUCUGGCCCCUCCUUCCUCCGCCCAAGGUUACAAAAGUUCAUGUGCUGAUUCAGUUAUCUUUUUGCAUAACAGAUUAUUUCACACUAUACAUAACUGUAUAAUAAUACAUCUUUAAUAUUACACGCAUGUUUAAAAGCUUUCGAAACAUCACCCAAAUACAAGUAGUAGGAUGCAAAUCAUAAUAAUAUUAACAAUAAUAUUAAUAAUAAUAACAACAAUAUUCACUGUACAAAUCUGACAUGCUAUUUUACACUUUAUUUCCCUGCACGCUUCCAUAAAUGCUUAUUUAACUAAAGUUACAGCAUGUAACUUGAUGUAUUUUAGGAAUUCUAUCUUUCCUGGGAAUAUCUUUAGCG